This 996-nucleotide ribosomal RNA is filed under the name uncultured Methylobacterium sp. Its description in RNAcentral is "bacterial SSU rRNA". It matches the Rfam family "Bacterial small subunit ribosomal RNA", at positions 129 to 1115 of the family's 1533-position model. Lineage: Bacteria; Pseudomonadati; Pseudomonadota; Alphaproteobacteria; Hyphomicrobiales; Methylobacteriaceae. The record is from RNAcentral.
ACCUACGGUCCGGUAAGCUCUCCAAAAUCCGUCAUUUAGUAACCAUUUUAGUCGUAACAAGGUAACCAUAACUCAGGCAAACUUGAGCUUUUACCGGAUACGCCCUUUUGGGGAAAGGUUUACUGCCGUAAGAUCGGCCCGCGCCUGAUUAGCUAGUUGGUGGGGUAAUGGCCUACCUAGGCGACGAUCACUUGCUGGUCUGAGAGGAUGAUCAGCCACACUGGGACUGAGACACGGCCCAGACUCCUACAGGAGGCAGCAAUGGGAAAUUUUGAACAAUUGUCGCAAGCCUGAUCCAGCCAUGCCGCGUGAGUCAUGAAGGCCUUAGGGUUGUAAAGUUCUUUUAUCCCGGACGAUAAUGACGGUACCGGACGAAUAAGCCCCGGCUAACUUCGUGCCACCAGCCGCGGUAAUACGAAGGGGGCUAGCGUUGCUCGGAAUCACUGGGCGUAAAGGGCGCGUAGACGGCGUUUUAAGUUGGGUGUCAAAGCCGGUGGCUCAACCACAGAAUUGCCUUCGAUACUGGGACGCUUGAGUGUGGUACAGGUUGGUGGAACUGCUAGUGCAGAGGUGAAAUUCGUAGAUAGUCGCACGAACACCCUCGGCGAAGGCUGCCAACUGGAUCAUCUCUGACACUAAGGCGCAAAACCGUGCGGAGCAAACGCGAUUAUAUACCCUGGUAGUCCACACCGUUACAAUUGAUGCCAGCCGUAGGUGGCUUGCCUUUCGGUGCUGCAGCUAACGCUUUGAGCAUCCGCCUGGGAAGUACGAUCGCUAGAGUAAAACUCCAAGGAAUUGACCGGCGCCCCCACUAGCGGCGGAGCAUGUGCUUAAUUCGAAGCAUCGCGCACAACUUUACCAUCCUUUGACUAACAGGCAAACCAAAUCGAUUUGGUGUCCCUUCGGGGACUUGCAGAAAGUUGCUGCAUGUGGUUGUCAGUUCGUGCGGUAAAUGUUGAUUUAAGUCCCACAUCUAGCCCAUCCCCCUUCCUAAUU